RNAcentral lists this ribosomal RNA (496 nucleotides) under uncultured bacterium. RNAcentral's name for it is "bacterial SSU rRNA". It matches the Rfam family "Bacterial small subunit ribosomal RNA", at positions 903 to 1397 of the family's 1533-position model. The record is from RNAcentral.
AAAGGAAUAGACGGGGGCCCGCACAAGCAGCGGAGCAUGUGGUUUAAUUCGAAGCAACGCGAAGAACCUUACCAGGUCUUGACAUCCAAUAAAACUUGUAGAGAUACAUCGUGGACUUCGGUCCGUAUUGAGACAGGUGGUGCAUGGUUGUCGUCAGCUCGUGUCGUGAGAUGUUGGGUUAAGUCCCGCAACGAGCGCAACCCUUGCUAAUAGUUACUAACAGGUGAUGCUGAGGACUCUAUUGGGACUGCCGGGGACAACUCGGAGGAAGGUGGGGACGACGUCAAAUCAUCAUGCCCCUUAUGACCUGGGCUACACACGUGCUACAAUGGCUACUACAAAGAGAAGCAGAGUCGAGAGGCCGAGCGGAUCUCAUAAAAGUAGUCCCAGUUCGGAUUGUGGGCUGCAACCCGCCCACAUGAAGUCGGAGUUGCUAGUAAUCGCGGAUCAGCAUGCCGCGGUGAAUACGUUCCCGGGCCUUGCACACACCGCCCGU